GUGAUUUUUUUACAUUCUCGUCCUGCAGAAUGGGACACCUGCAAUCACCCAGCUCUUGCUCUGGGCUCUGUGACAACACGAGCUCCUCGUGCCUUGCUCUGUGUGGCAUUGAGCCAGCUCAAUAUCGGCAAGAGACAGAAACACAAAAGGAAUCCGUGUAAAGCUGCAGAGGGUAAAUGUUCCAUCAGACUCCACCUGAAAACUUCCACACAUCACCUGGAGUGUUUCAAAGGCCAGGGAAGAAAGCUCCCUCCAGCCCUGCAGCCUCCAAGCUGAGCUCCAGCUGCCCUGAGGGAUGCACUGCCCAGUGCUCCUGCUAAAGAAAUGGAAAAGCCAUUCCUACAAAUGUAAACAUGAGUACAAGUCUUAAAUAAAUCUGUUUAUGGA
This 387-nucleotide long non-coding RNA is filed under the name Zonotrichia albicollis (white-throated sparrow). RNAcentral's name for it is "lncRNA (ENSZALG00000010117.1)". Lineage: Eukaryota; Metazoa; Chordata; Aves; Passeriformes; Passerellidae. The record is from RNAcentral.